AACGAACGCUGGCGGCAUGCCUAACACAUGCAAGUCGAACGAAGGCUUCGGCCUUAGUGGCGCACGGGUGAGUAACGCGUGGGAAACUGCCUAUUGGUGGGGAAUAACGAAGGGAAACUGUCGCUAAUACCGCAUAAGCCCUUCGGGGGAAAGAUUUAUCGCCGCUAGAUGUGCCCGCGCCCGAUUAGCGAGUUUGUGAGGUAAUGGCUCACCAAGGCGACGAUCGGUAGCUGGUCUGUGGGGAUGAUCAGCCACACUGGGACUGAGACACGGCCCAGACUCCUACGGGAGGCAGCAGUGGGGAAUAUUGGACAAUGGGCGAAAGCCUGAUCCAGCAAUGCCGCGUGAGUGAUGAAGGCCUUAGGGUUGUAAAGCUCUUUCGGGUGGGACGAUGAUGACGGUACCACCAGAAGAAGCCCCGGCUAACUUCGUGCCAGCCGCCGCAGUAA
Molecule: ribosomal RNA, 449 nt
Filed under: uncultured bacterium
Lineage: Bacteria
Description: partial 16S ribosomal RNA
Rfam family: Bacterial small subunit ribosomal RNA
Source: RNAcentral